GACGGGAGCUUGCUCCCUUAGGUCAGCGGCGGACGGGUGAGUAACACGUGGGUAACCUGCCUGUAAGACUGGGAUAACUCCGGGAAACCGGGGCUAAUACCGGAUGCUUGAUUGAACCGCAUGGUUCAAUCAUAAAAGGUGGCUUUUAGCUACCACUUGCAGAUGGACCCGCGGCGCAUGAGCUAGUUGGUGAGGUAACGGCUCACCAAGGCGACGAUGCGUAGCCGACCUGAGAGGGUGAUCGGCCACACUGGGACUGAGACACGGCCCAGACUCCUACGGGAGGCAGCAGUAGGGAAUCUUCCGCAAUGGACGAAAGUCUGACGGAGCAACGCCGCGUGAGUGAUGAAGGUUUUCGGAUCGUAAAACUCUGUUGUUAGGGAAGAACAAGUACCGUUCGAAUAGGGCGGUACCUUGACGGUACCUAACCAGAAAGCCACGGCUAACUACGUGCCAGCAGCCGCGGUAAUACGUAGGUGGCAAGCGUUGUCCGGAAUUAUUGGGCGUAAAGCGCGCGCAGGCGGUUUCUUAAGUCUGAUGUGAAGCCCCCGGCUCAACCGGGGAGGGUCAUUGGAACUGGGGACUUGAGUGCAGAAGAGGAGAGUGGAUUCCACGUGUAGCGGUGAAAUGCGUAGAGAUGUGGAGGAACACCAGUGGCGAAGGCGACUCUCUGGUCUGUA
This 680-nucleotide ribosomal RNA is filed under the name uncultured Bacilli bacterium. RNAcentral's name for it is "bacterial SSU rRNA". It matches the Rfam family "Bacterial small subunit ribosomal RNA", at positions 71 to 738 of the family's 1533-position model. Lineage: Bacteria; Bacillati; Bacillota; Bacilli. The record is from RNAcentral.